This 465-nucleotide ribosomal RNA is filed under the name uncultured bacterium. Its description in RNAcentral is "partial 16S ribosomal RNA". It matches the Rfam family "Bacterial small subunit ribosomal RNA", at positions 338 to 795 of the family's 1533-position model. The record is from RNAcentral.
CCUACGGGUGGCAGCAGUAGGGAAUCUUCCACAAUGGGCGAAAGCCUGAUGGAGCAACGCCGCGUGGGUGAAGAAGGUCUUCGGAUCGUACAACCCUGUUGUUAGAGAAGAAAGUGCGUGAGCGUAACUGUUCACGUUUCGACUGUAUCUAACCAGAAAGCCACGGCUAACUACGUGCCCGCAGCCGCGGUAAUCCGUAGGUGGCAAGCGUUAUCCGGAUUUAUUGGGCGUAAAGGGAACGCAGGCGGUCUUUUAAGUCUGAUGUGAAAGCCUUCGGCUUAACCGGAGUAGUGCAUUGGAAACUGGGAGACUUGAGUGCAGAAGAGGAGAGUGGAACUCCAGGUGUAGCGGUGAAAUGCGUAGAUAUAUGGAAGAACACCAGUGGCGAAAGCGGCUCUCUGGGCUGUAACGGACGCUGAGGUUCGAAAGCGUGGGUAGCAAACAGGAUUAGAUACCCCAGUAGUC